UUUCAUUCCUUUCUGAGCUCUCUCCUUCUCAGCCGCCGAAACCACUUUGACAAAGGCUCUGUGUGCGCCAUUGCGAAACCUACCUCUCUCUCAUCCUCUCUGACAAAGGCUCUGUCCUGCCCAAUCCUCUCUGCGCAAAACCUCCUCUCAGGAAAACCUCUCUGUCAUCCAGCGCCUCUGUCAGCCUCCGUUUCUCUCUGAGCCGCCACCUCUCUCAGUCGCCGCCAUCACAGGUCAGAUUGUCUCUUUUUUUCUUUUUCUUUUUCUUCUUUUCCCCCGUCGAAUCUCUGGCUAACUCUAUCUGUGUGCAAUUCGUAGAUUCAGCACAGCAGUUCGCAGCCACCUCUUCAUUUUAUUUACCUCUCUUUCUCUCUGUCAGGUAUGAUUCGCCAUAAACUAUUUGAGAAUUUGAGUUUCUUUGUUAUGCUGCCAAGUUUAGUUUAUUUCUCCACCUAGCUGGCGUGUGGUUCUUAGCUUUGUCAUUGUGUACUGUUUGCAUAGGGUGUUUUUCAAAUUGAUUUAGGGUUGUGGUUCAAAAUGAUUUAGGAUGUUUUUCAAAUUGAUUUAGGUUUGAUUAAAAUUAAAUGGCUGCUCUAGAAAUUUAUCAAAUUGAUUCAAAUUGAUUGAGGUUUGAUUAAAAUAAAUUGGCAGCCCUAGAAAUCUUCUAUGAGUUGAAAGUUGUGUAUAGAAAUUAUGAGAUUGAUUCACACUGCAUGCUAAACAUUUUGGACAAUCAAGCCACCAUUCAUUGAAAGAAGUUUUGUUUUGCAGGAGACUUCAAGUGGCACUGUCCCAAUAGCACGCACCAUUCAUUAAUUUAGGUUUGAUUAGCAGCAGUUCGUGAAGAUCAGCAGGAAAUUUCUGGACAAGUUUGCAGCUUCCAGCAGCAUUUCUGCCACCCUCUGAGGUAUUCCGGCAGCAGUUCUGCCACUUUCUAUAGAUUUUUUAAUUGUUUUUUGUGGAUAAAUUUCCUCUGUUUGUAAUUGUUUUCAUCUGCCAAAUUCAUGUUAUAAAGAAGAGUUCUUGUUUGUAUACACUUCUGGUCAGAUUUCAGGGUCUUCAUUUGCUAAUAUUUGCCUUGUGUUGUGAAUAGAUUAAUCUGUAGAGAAUUAUGAAUUUGGGUUCUGCCACUUGAGGAUGUAUAUAUACAGCUUUUAACUCUUAAACUGUUUUGUUCUUAUAAUUUAGAAGAAUACAAGUUGAAGAGAAUAUUGACAACAAUUUAUUUUUUAAAAUGUUUCUUAUAAUUUGGGUUGUAAUGUAUAUUUGGAUUGAAUUUGGGUUGUAUUUGGCUAGUAAUUUAUUUUGGAGCUUAUUUUGUUGAAGUUUGAUUGCAUUUGGUUGUAAUUUAUAUGUUGAAGUUGGAUUGUAUUUUUGUUGAAGUUAGAUUGAUUUUGAUGUGUUGAAAGCUUGAUG
Molecule: long non-coding RNA, 1416 nt
Filed under: Prunus dulcis (almond)
Lineage: Eukaryota; Viridiplantae; Streptophyta; Magnoliopsida; Rosales; Rosaceae
Description: sRNA ncRNA
Source: RNAcentral